CGCCUCUUGCUUAACUACUAUAAGAGGUCCCGCCUGCCCUGUGACAAUGUUUAACGGCCGCGGUAUUUUGACCGUGCGAAGGUAGCGUAAUCACUUGUCUUUUAAAUGAAGACCUGUAUGAAAGGCAUCACGAGAGUUUAACUGUCUCUAUUUUCUAAUCAAUGAAAUUGAUCUUCUCGUGCAGAAGCGAGAAUAUUACCAUUAGACGAGAAGACCCUAUGGAGCUUCAAACACUUAAAUUAAUUAUGUAAAAUUAUAACCCCCCAGGGGAAAAAUCAUUCAUAUAAUAUUCCUAAUUUAACUGUUUUUGGUUGGGGUGACCGAGGGGGAAAGAAAAUCCCCCUUAUCGACUGAGUACUAAGUACUUAAAAAUUAGAACGACAGUUCUGAUUAAUAAAACAUUUACCGAAAAAUGACCCAGAUUUUUCUGAUCAAUGAACCAAGUUACCCUAGGGAUAACAGCGCAAUCCUUUCCCAGAGUCCCUAUCGCCGAAAGGGUUUACGACCUCGAUGUUGGAUCAGGACAUCCUAAUGGUGCAACCGCUAUUAAGGGUUCGUUUGUUCAACGAUUAAUAGUCCU
This 580-nucleotide ribosomal RNA is filed under the name Centrophorus uyato (little gulper shark). RNAcentral's name for it is "partial large subunit ribosomal RNA". It matches the Rfam family "Bacterial large subunit ribosomal RNA", at positions 1816 to 2597 of the family's 2925-position model. The record is from RNAcentral. Lineage: Eukaryota; Metazoa; Chordata; Chondrichthyes; Squaliformes; Centrophoridae.